Long non-coding RNA from Beta vulgaris subsp. vulgaris (sugar beet), 1244 nucleotides. RefSeq lists it as uncharacterized. Lineage: Eukaryota; Viridiplantae; Streptophyta; Magnoliopsida; Caryophyllales; Amaranthaceae. The record is from RefSeq and is a predicted model, not a curated record. The transcript is spliced from 2 exons.
GUGGGUUUCCAUGUGAAAUAGUGGAUUGUUUAGUAACGAUACGUUCUUUUGGCUUGAUGCACAUUAAUGUUAUGUAAACCGGAUCCACAUAAAUCAGCUUGCUACAUAAAUUCAUGUCAACUAAACUAUCAUGAAGUUUGGGAAGGUUGUAGGAAAUUAUCCCAAACUUUUAACCGUAUAGUGACAAUUUUGGGCCAAGCCCAAAUGCGAAGUAAACCCUAAAAACCUACAACAACUCAAUCGCCACUUUUCGAACUCUAUAUCUUUCUCUCAUUUCGCACUCUUUUAUUAUCUUCAGCAACAGUAUCCUGCCCUUAUUGUCCCUGAACUCACCAGCAAAUUGGAGGACACUAUGAAAAUGAUGUGUGUCUCUGAGGGCGAUGACCCCAGGCAUGAGCAGUACCAUCACCACCUCAGAGAUGUUCUUGGGUAAGCUUGUCCACUAAGGAGGUGGAUGAGCAGAUCAACGUCCAGAAUAAUUUGUCCUAGUUUCUUGAGUGGAGUCUGUACAAUGCGAAGUCGAGUGUGUUACAUGAUCUGUCCUCGUGGUUUGAGCUUGGCCUCAACGUUCAUUGGGAAUCCUACUUCAUUCCAGAAGUUAGGUGUUCAGGACUCAGGAGGGUGAGUAUGCAGUUCACAGCUAAUGUUCAGGAGAAAUGCUUUCUUGCUUUGGUACACUGGGAGAGGUAUGGAUGAGAUGGAGUUUGCUGAGAGCGUAACAUGGAUGAUCUUGUGUUUGAUGACCAGCACUAUCGUUGUAUCAGGAUGCUAUGCUGAUGAGGAAGAAGACCUGGAAGAGCAUGGAUGAAUUUGCGUAUGUUGAUGAUGUUUUCACCAGUUGAUGUUUGUAUGAACGAGGGGCGAGAUUGUGUGAGUGAGGUGGAAAGUAUUUGGUCUUUCUUAUAUCUUAUAGUCUUGAGAUUUUAGUAAUGGUUGAUAUUAUCAUGUUUUGAGGGAUGUUGCUAUGUACAAUCUUUUUUGUUUUGUUUUGAGGGAUGUUGCUAUGUGCAUCUUAUUUUCUGGGAUCUUAAUUGUUCUACAGCCAAUUGGUUGUUAACUGCCAUAUGCGAUGAUAUACUUCUUCUGUUCCAUAAUAAGUGAAACAUAGGAGGAGAGAGAAAAGCAAACCACACAAGUUUGUGAUGGUCACUCUUGUUAUUUUGUUACUUUUUUUUAUCCAUUUAAGGUAUGGUUUACUUAUUUUGAAACGUUCUAAAAUAGUAAGUGUUUCACUUGUUAUGAAA